UCAACGUGUAUGUUCGGGUUG
Caenorhabditis elegans is the source of this 21-nucleotide non-coding RNA. NCBI's taxonomy places the organism in Eukaryota, Metazoa, Nematoda, Chromadorea, Rhabditida, Rhabditidae. The record is from Ensembl.